RNAcentral lists this ribosomal RNA (496 nucleotides) under uncultured bacterium. Its description in RNAcentral is "partial 16S ribosomal RNA". It matches the Rfam family "Bacterial small subunit ribosomal RNA", at positions 27 to 507 of the family's 1533-position model. The record is from RNAcentral.
GGACGAAAGCUGGCGGCGUGCCUAAUCCAUGCAAGUAGAACGCUGAAGGAGGAGCUUGCUUCUCUGGAUGAGUUGCGAACGGGUGAGUAACGCGUAGGUAACCUGCCUGGUAGCGGGGGAUAACUAUUGGAAACGAUAGCUAAUACCGCAUAAUAGUAGAUGUUGCAUGACAUUUGCUUAAAAGGUGCAAUUGCAUCACUACCAGAUGGACCUGCGUUGUAUUAGCUAGUUGGUGGGGUAACGGCUCACCAAGGCGACGAUACAUAGCCGACCUGAGAGGGUGAUCGGCCACACUGGGACUGAGACACGGCCCAGACUCCUACGGGAGGCAGCAGUAGGGAAUCUUCGGCAAUGGACGGAAGUCUGACCGAGCAACGCCGCGUGAGUGAAGAAGGUUUUCGGAUCGUAAAGCUCUGUUGUAAGAGAAGAACGAGUGUGAGAGUGGAAAGUUCACACUGUGACGGUAUCUUACCAGAAAGAGACGGCUAACUACGUG